Molecule: regulatory RNA element, 31 nt
Organism: Brassica oleracea var. oleracea
Lineage: Eukaryota; Viridiplantae; Streptophyta; Magnoliopsida; Brassicales; Brassicaceae
Rfam family: Iron response element II
About the family: IRE, TFRC, SLC40A1, SDHB, SLC11A2, CDC42BPA, ACO2, ALAS2_H.SAPIENS, CDC14A, EPAS1, ALAS2, qoxD, Hao1, NDUFS1, transferrin, Aconitate.
Source: Rfam
GCGAUUUCAUCUACAGUGUUGGAUAAAUUGG